Molecule: ribosomal RNA, 466 nt
Filed under: uncultured bacterium
Lineage: Bacteria
Description: partial 16S ribosomal RNA
Rfam family: Bacterial small subunit ribosomal RNA
Source: RNAcentral
GAUGAACGCUGGCGGCGUGCUUAACACAUGCAAGUCGAACGAUGAAGCCCAGCUUGCUGGGUGGAUUAGUGGCGAACGGGUGAGUAACACGUGAGUAACCUGCCCUUAACUCUGGGAUAAGCCUGGGAAACUGGGUCUAAUACCGGAUAGGAGCGUCCACCGCAUGGUGGGUGUUGGAAAGAUUUAACGGUUUUGGAUGGACUCGCGGCCUAUCAGCUUGUUGGUGAGGUAAUGGCUCACCAAGGCGACGACGGGUAGCCGGCCUGAGAGGGUGACCGGCCACACUGGGACUGAGACACGGCCCAGACUCCUACGGGAGGCAGCAGUGGGGAAUAUUGCACAAUGGGCGCAAGCCUGAUGCAGCGACGCCGCGUGAGGGAUGACGGCCUUCGGGUUGUAAACCUCUUUCAGUAGGGAAGAAGCGAAAGUGACGGUACCUGCAGAAGAAGCACCGGCUAACUACGUG